Molecule: unclassified non-coding RNA, 347 nt
Filed under: soil metagenome
Description: partial contains 5.8S ribosomal RNA, internal transcribed spacer 2, and large subunit ribosomal RNA
Rfam family: 5.8S ribosomal RNA (bases 1-120)
Source: RNAcentral
GAUGAAGAACGCAGUGAAAUGCGAUAAUUAAUGUGAAUUGCAGAAUUCAGUGAAUCAUCGAGUCUUUGAACGCACAUUGCGCCCCCUGGUAUUCCGGGGGGCAUGCCUGUCCGAGCGUCAUUGCUGCCCUCAAGCACGGCUUGUGUGUUGGGCUUCCGUCCCUGGCAACGGGGACGGGCCCAAAAGGCAGCGGCGGCACCAUGUCUGGUCCUCGAGCGUAUGGGGCUUUGUCACCCGCUCCCGUAGGUCCAGCUGGCAGCUAGCCUCGCAACCAAUCUUUUUAACCAGGUUGACCUCGGAUCAGGUAGGGAUACCCGCUGAACUUAAGCAUAUCAAUAAGCGGAGGA